This 527-nucleotide ribosomal RNA is filed under the name uncultured Anaerolineaceae bacterium. Its description in RNAcentral is "bacterial SSU rRNA". It matches the Rfam family "Bacterial small subunit ribosomal RNA", at positions 355 to 897 of the family's 1533-position model. The record is from RNAcentral. Lineage: Bacteria; Bacillati; Chloroflexota; Anaerolineae; Anaerolineales; Anaerolineaceae.
UCGGGAAUAUUGCACAAUGGACGAAAGUCUGAUGCAGCAACGCCGCGUGCGCGAUGAAGGCCUUCGGGUUGUAAAGCGCUUUUCGGGAGGAUGAGGAAGGACAGUACUCCCGGAAUAAGGUACGGCUAACCACGUGCCAGCAGCCGCGGUAAAACGUAGGUACCGAGCGUUAUCCGGAUUUACUGGGCGUAAAGCGUGUUCAGGCGGCCUGGCAAGUCGGGCAUGAAAUCUCUCGGCUCAACCGAGAGAGGCUGUCCGAUACUGCUGGGCUUGAGGACGGUAGAGGGUGGUGGAAUUCCGCGUGUAGUGGUGAAAUGCGUAGAUAUGCGGAGGAACACCAGUGGCGAAGGCGGCCACCUGGACCGUCCCUGACGCUCAAACACGAAAGCUAGGGUAGCGAACGGGAUUAGAAACCCCGGUAGUCCUAGCCGUAAACGAUGUUGACUGGGUGUCAGAGGUGUAAAACCCUUUGGUGCCGGAGCAAACGCGUUAAGUCAACCGCCUGGGGACUACGGCCGCAAGGUUAA